CAGAUAGAGGUUGCGUGAUUCAACAGUAGCUUUUCGGAUGUGGCAGGCACAGGAGAAGAAGAGGGAAAGGGAAGAACGCCGAAAGAGGAGAGCGCCUGCAGCUUGAGUCUUGGGCAUACGGUCAACAGCCGUAUGACUGUCAUCUGAUACAGGAUGGGGCGCUAUCUGA
Molecule: non-coding RNA, 169 nt
Filed under: uncultured Eisenbergiella sp.
Lineage: Bacteria; Bacillati; Bacillota; Clostridia; Lachnospirales; Lachnospiraceae
Description: Lysine riboswitch
Rfam family: Lysine riboswitch aptamer
About the family: Riboswitches are metabolite binding domains within certain messenger RNAs that serve as precision sensors for their corresponding targets. Allosteric rearrangement of mRNA structure is mediated by ligand binding, and this results in modulation of gene expression.
Source: RNAcentral